RNAcentral lists this ribosomal RNA (253 nucleotides) under uncultured bacterium. RNAcentral describes it as "partial 16S ribosomal RNA". It matches the Rfam family "Bacterial small subunit ribosomal RNA", at positions 524 to 776 of the family's 1533-position model. The record is from RNAcentral.
UACGGAGGGUGCGAGCGUUAAUCGGAAUUACUGGGCGUAAAGGGUGCGUAGGUGGUUUGUUAAGUUAGUUUUGAAAUUCCUGGGCUUAACCUGGGCUGGAGGACUAAUACUGAUGAACUUGAGUAUAGGAGAGGGUAGUGGAAUUUCCGGUGUAGCGGUGAAAUGCGUAGAGAUCGGAAGGAACACCAGUGGCGAAGGCGGCUACCUGGCCAGAUACUGACACUGAGGCACGAAAGCGUGGGGAGCAAACAGG